CCUGGCUCAGAUUGAACGCUGGCGGAAUGCUUUACACAUGCAAGUCGAACGAUGAACCUUAGCUUGCUAAGGGGAUUAGUGGCGAACGGGUGAGUAAUAUAUCGGAACGUGCCUUGUAAUGGGGGAUAACUAGUCGAAAGAUUAGCUAAUACCGCAUACGCCCUGAGGGGGAAAGUAGGGGAUCUUCGGACCUUACGUUAUAAGAGCGGCCGAUAUCUGAUUAGCUAGUUGGUGGGGUAAUGGCCUACCAAGGCUUCGAUCAGUAGCUGGUCUGAGAGGACGACCAGCCACACUGGAACUGAGACACGGUCCAGACUCCUACGGGAGGCAGCAGUGGGGAAUUUUGGACAAUGGGCGCAAGCCUGAUCCAGCCAUUCCGCGUGAGUGAAGAAGGCCUUCGGGUUGUAAAGCUCUUUCGCAAGGGAAGAAAACUUACAUUCUAAUAAAGUGUGAGGCUGACGGUACCUUGAUAAGAAGCACCGGCUAACUACGUGCCAGCAGCCGCGGUAAUACGUAGGGUGCGAGCGUUAAUCGGAAUUACUGGGCGUAAAGCGUGCGCAGGCGGUUUUGUAAGUCAGAUGUGAAAUCCCCGAGCUCAACUUGGGAACUGCGUUUGAAACUACAAGACUAGAAUAUGUCAGAGGGGGGUAGAAUUCCACGUGUAGCGGUGAAAUGCGUAGA
Molecule: ribosomal RNA, 681 nt
Filed under: uncultured bacterium
Lineage: Bacteria
Description: bacterial SSU rRNA
Rfam family: Bacterial small subunit ribosomal RNA
Source: RNAcentral